Molecule: non-coding RNA, 655 nt
Organism: Labrus bergylta (ballan wrasse)
Lineage: Eukaryota; Metazoa; Chordata; Actinopteri; Labriformes; Labridae
Source: RefSeq, a predicted model, not a curated record
UUCUUUGCUUGUUGUCCAUAUGUCCACACUCCUCUUCUGGGGAUAUUUUGUUCUGAGUGAACGCUUUUUUUUUAUUGGAUAUAUGAUUCGGUAUGGGAAGGAAAUGUUUCCGAGCAGCAGUGGAAACCUGGAAUGAAACGACUUUAGAAACCCUCAAACGUUCACCUGGAAGCCGCGCAUGGAGAGACCCUUGGGUGGUCCUCGAACCCCGCUUUGGAAACGACCCUGCCCCUGCCUCCACCUCAUGCAGCUUCUGAGGUAGAAAGUCAGUUCUUUUAGUGAGCUCAGGUCGACUCGUUUUGUACCGCUGCAUAGGUGGAGCAGUAAUCAAGUGUGGAAUUAUCUACCUAAGAAAAACCCAACGCACAGCACAGGUGUGUCGGAUGAAAGAACAGGAAGCCAUUGGACAUUCUCCGGAGCAGCUCGGGAUAAUACGCGUUUUGUGAUGGAGUGGCGUGAGCAGUCUGCUGUCAGCAGUGAUGAAGCCUACUUGGAGGCGCAGAGGUGGAUUGAGGCUGUAACCAAGAAAAAUUCGGGAGCAACGACUUCCGAUCAGCACUGGAGAAUGGCGUUCUGUUGUGUGAUGUGAUCAACAAGAUCAAGCCCGGUGUUAUCAGGAAGAUUAACAGGCUGCCCACACCUAUUGCUGGACUGG